GAUGUUCCAAAUGGUAAGAAUGACA
RNAcentral lists this unclassified non-coding RNA (25 nucleotides) under Mus musculus (house mouse). RNAcentral's name for it is "oocyte_clustered_small_RNA10823". The record is from RNAcentral. Lineage: Eukaryota; Metazoa; Chordata; Mammalia; Rodentia; Muridae.